UAUUUCUUUUUUGUAAUAGACAAUAAUUCCUCCACUAUGUCGACGUGCUUUUUUUUUCUUUUUGCGUAUUUUUGAGAAAGUAUUAUAAUUUGAUAUUUUAUAAUCUUUACACUCCCCUUUCCAGGUUUCAAGUAAUAUAUUUAUGUCACUUUGAAUUUUAUCUAUAAAAAAAUCAUCUUGAAUUUUGUCCCCAAGGCCACGCACAUUCCAAGCAGAAAUAGUUAAAUAGCGUUUAUUCUCAUGAGUUCCCAUGAUCAAAUUCCUUCCUUUUUUUUUGG
Molecule: long non-coding RNA, 278 nt
Filed under: Mytilus galloprovincialis (Mediterranean mussel)
Lineage: Eukaryota; Metazoa; Mollusca; Bivalvia; Mytilida; Mytilidae
Source: RNAcentral